Molecule: long non-coding RNA, 472 nt
Organism: Agrilus planipennis (emerald ash borer)
Lineage: Eukaryota; Metazoa; Arthropoda; Insecta; Coleoptera; Buprestidae
Exons: 3
Source: RefSeq, a predicted model, not a curated record
AAUUUGACAACGUAGUUUGAAAAUUUGUUGUCUAUUUGUUUUUUAAAAGUGAUGCUUUUAAAUUCAAUUUUGGUGUUUCAUUUACUGUUCGACUGACCGACAAAUGAGGGCAUUAGUUUCUUCACUGUGCAACAUUAUCUAGUUAAUAUUCAACUAAUUAAUGAGAGCACCUGAAAGUUUAUGUAUUUUAACUUUCUCUGAAACAAGAAUAGAUCUGGAAUGGUGCAGUUCUUCCUUGUUUGAUUUGCUUUUCCUGCUUUGGAGAACGCUACAGUCGAGUUGAUUAAGUUCAAUGGUGGAAAAGACAAAUAAAACCCUGCACUUAUGAUUGGAAUGCUUCUUUAUUUUGUACUUUGAAUGAAUUUUUUAUUGUUUGUGUUUUUAUUUUGUAUGUUUCUUACUUACAUCUUUGCUUUGCUUACUGCAUAUUGUUCUUAAUUUACUUUACAUUUACAUUACAUCUUCUACAUGA